CAGUAGGGAAUAUUGGUCAAUGGGUGAGAGCCUGAACCAGCCAUGCCGCGUGCAGGAAGACGGCCUUCUGGGUUGUAAACUGCUUUUAUCUGGGGAUAAAAUGACCGUGCGCGGUUAAUUGAAGGUACCAGAUGAAUAAGCACCGGCUAACUACGUGCCAGCAGCCGCGGUAAUACGUAGGGUGCAAGCGUUGUCCGGAUUUAUUGGGUUUAAAGGGUGCGUAGGCGGCUCGUUAAGUCAGUGGUGAAAUACAACAGCUCAACUGUUGAGGUGCCAAUGAUACUGGCGAGCUUGAGUACAGACGAGGUAGGCGGAAUUGACAGUGUAGCGGUGAAAUGCAUAGAUAUUGUCAAGAACACCGAUAGCGAAGGCAGCUUGCUAGCCUGUAACUGACGCUGAGGCACGAAAGUGUGGGGAUCAAACAGGAUUAGAUACCCUGGUAGUCCACACUGUAAACGAUGAUUACUCGAUGUUGGCGAUACACAGUCAGCGUCUUAGCAAAAGCGAUAAGUAAUCCAC
Molecule: ribosomal RNA, 519 nt
Filed under: uncultured bacterium
Lineage: Bacteria
Description: bacterial SSU rRNA
Rfam family: Bacterial small subunit ribosomal RNA
Source: RNAcentral